AGCGGGGAGUAUUCCGCAAUGGGCGAAAGCCUGACGGAGCGACGCCGCGUGCAGGAAGACGCUUUUCGGAGUGUAAACUGCUUUUAUCCCGAAAAAAUAUGAUGGUACGGGAUGAAUAAGGACCUGCUAACUACGUGCCAGCAGCAGCGGUGAUACGUGGGGUCCGAGCGUUGUCCGGAAUUACUGGGCGUAAAGAGCUCGUAGGCGGUUUGACAAGUUUUGGGUUAAAGCCUUGGGCUUAACUCAAGAAAGGCUCAAAAUACUGUCAGACUAGAGUCAGUCAGGGGCAAGUGGAAUUCCUGGUGUAGCAGUGAAAUGCGUUGAUAUCAGGAAGAACACCAAUGGCGAAGGCAGCUUGCUAUGGCUGUACUGACGCUGAGGAGCGAAAGCGUGGGUAGCGAACGGGAUUAGAUACCCCGGUAGUCCACGCCGUAAACGAUGCAGACUAGGCAUUGGGAGCAUCGACCCUCUUUGUGCCGAAGCUAACGCGUUAAGUCUGCCGCCUGGGAAGUACGACCACAAGGUUAAAACUCAAAGGAAUUGGCGGGGACUCGCACAAGCGGUGGAACAUGAGGUUUAAUUCGACAAUAAGCGAAGAACCUUACCAGGGCUUGACAUCUCUGGAACCUGCUGGAAACAGUGGGGUGCCCCUUUCUUAUAACAAUGCCAUUUUUAAUGGUCUGAUUGAUUGCAAAUUUUUAUUUGGCAGUCAGUCGGUUAAACUUGUUAUAGGUAAGGGGAGCCAGAUGACAGGUGCUGCACGGCUGUCGUCAGCUCGUGUCGUGAGAUUUUCGGUUAAGUCCGAUAACGAGCGCAACCCCUAUGAUGUGUUACUUGUGUCACAUCAGACUGCCUGGGUUAACCGGGAGGAAGGUGGGGAUGACGUCAAGUCAGCGUGGCUUUUACGCUCUGGGCGACACUCGUGUUACAAUGGCGGCUACAAAGGGUUGCAAAACCGCAAGGUUGAGCUAAUCCCCAAAAGUCGUCUCAGUUCGGAUUGGAGGCUGCAACUCGCCUCCAUGAAGCCGGAAUCGCUAGUAACCGUGGGUCAGCCAUACCACGGUGAAUACGU
This 1072-nucleotide ribosomal RNA is filed under the name uncultured bacterium. RNAcentral's name for it is "bacterial SSU rRNA". It matches the Rfam family "Bacterial small subunit ribosomal RNA", at positions 353 to 1371 of the family's 1533-position model. The record is from RNAcentral.